CCCGCGGACCCGCGCAACUUCCCGGGAGCCGGGGCCAAAGUGAGCGAAAAGUGCUGCCCAAGUUCCCGGGAUGGAGCUGCAGAGCCGGCCCGAGGCGCUCGCCGUGGAACUCGCGCGCCACCAGAACGGCGACCUCGAGAAGCAGCUCCUCGAGAGGCAGCCGCGGAUCGCCGCGCUCAGCGACAAACAAAGUUGAGGAAUUUCUUCACGUCCUAUGGUUCAGAUUUCAUCAGAUCAGAGGAAGAUCGUGGCCACCCUGGGCAGGCAGAUUCCUGGAGAUGGCCUUUUCCAGUCAAGAGAUUUCUGAUCCACUGUGCUUGCUUCUGCCAAAUCCCCAGCCUUGGAAGCCAGCAGCUGGUGAAAAGCCAUUGUAUAUCGAUUAAUGCAUAUUUUUUCUAACUUCUUUUCCUCUUCUAUCGUUUCAUAACCAAGCUAUGCCAGGGCCUUGCUUUCAAUUUUUAAAGAGCCAAGGAUCAUUUUCUCAGACUAUUUUAAAAAUGAAGAGAAGGUUCCAACCAGA
Molecule: long non-coding RNA, 520 nt
Organism: Diceros bicornis minor
Lineage: Eukaryota; Metazoa; Chordata; Mammalia; Perissodactyla; Rhinocerotidae
Exons: 3
Source: RefSeq, a predicted model, not a curated record